This is a long non-coding RNA of Prunus persica (peach), 467 nucleotides long. RefSeq lists it as uncharacterized. The transcript is spliced from 2 exons. The record is from RefSeq and is a predicted model, not a curated record. NCBI's taxonomy places the organism in Eukaryota, Viridiplantae, Streptophyta, Magnoliopsida, Rosales, Rosaceae.
UAUUAUUUUUUAAUCCUAUUUCAAAAAAAAAAUAAAUCAAAACAAAACAAAACCAGACCACAUUAGGGUUUAGAUUCUUGUUGUCUCAAUUUUCUUAUAUAUGUACCUAUCAUCCCUCACUCACAGUCACACCGCGGCCUCUCUCCUCUCCAUUGCCUCUCUCUUUCGUCUUUCCUAUCAUUUCCCCUCCACGACAGAAGAGACGAAGCCAACAGAGCUAUUCAAGAUCGCCAAUUGAGAACUUAUUCAUUGAGAAUUGAGAUGGGUUUCAGGUGCAGACCCAGAUAAACAACAAAGAUGAUUUUUCUUGGGUCUUAAUCAGUUUUGCAGGGAGAACGUGAGUUUUGUAAUGGAUUACUUGGUUUAAACAUGAAAAUUUAUCUGAAGAUUUACCAAAUGAAUUGUUCAUAUUCAUUUGGAAGAAUAAGCAGAAAAUGAAAAUGAAUUGAAAGUUUAUGAUGCAAAAA